Molecule: ribosomal RNA, 253 nt
Filed under: uncultured bacterium
Lineage: Bacteria
Description: partial 16S ribosomal RNA
Rfam family: Bacterial small subunit ribosomal RNA
Source: RNAcentral
UACGAAGGGUGCAAACGUUGCUCGGAAUUACUGGGCGUAAAGCGUGCGCAGGCGGUUAUGCGAGACAGAUGUGAAAUCCCCGGGCUUAACCUGGGAACCGCAUUUGUGACUGCAUAGCUGGAGUACGGCAGAGGGGGAUGGAAUUCCGCGUGUAGCAGUGAAAUGCGUAGAUAUGCGGAGGAACACCGAUGGCGAAGGCAGUCCCCUGGGCCUGUACUGACGCUCAUGCACGAAAGCGUGGGGAGCAAACAGG